GCGCCCGUAGCUCAGUCCGGACAGAGUGACAGACUUCGAAUCUGGGGGCCGCAGGUUCAAAUCCUGCCGGGCGCGCCA
This 78-nucleotide transfer RNA is filed under the name Thermoanaerobacterales bacterium. Its description in RNAcentral is "tRNA-Arg". It matches the Rfam family "tRNA". Rfam says of the family: Transfer RNA (tRNA) molecules are approximately 80 nucleotides in length. Their secondary structure includes four short double-helical elements and three loops (D, anti-codon, and T loops). Lineage: Bacteria; Bacillati; Bacillota; Clostridia; Thermoanaerobacterales. The record is from RNAcentral.